CAGCCGCCGCGGUAAUACGAAGGGGGCUAGCGUUGUUCGGAAUUACUGGGCGUAAAGGGCGCGUAGGCGGACUGAUAAGUCAGGGGUGAAAUCCCAAGGCUCAACCUUGGAACUGCCUUUGAUACUGUUUGUCUUGAGUUCGAGAGAGGUAAGUGGAACUGCGAGUGUAGGGGUGAAAUUCGUAGAUAUUCGCAAGAACACCAGUGGCGAAGGCGGCUUACUGGCUCGAAACUGACGCUGAGGCGCGAAAGCGUGGGGAGCAAACAGGAUUAGAUACCCCGGUAGUCCCUGUCUCUUAUAC
RNAcentral lists this ribosomal RNA (301 nucleotides) under uncultured bacterium. RNAcentral describes it as "partial 16S ribosomal RNA". It matches the Rfam family "Bacterial small subunit ribosomal RNA", at positions 509 to 807 of the family's 1533-position model. The record is from RNAcentral.